GGCCCGGUGGCUCAGCUGGUUAGAGCGCCGCCCUGUCACGGCGGAGGUCGACGGUUCGAUCCCGUUCCGGGUCG
RNAcentral lists this transfer RNA (74 nucleotides) under Clostridium sp. RNAcentral's name for it is "tRNA-Asp". It matches the Rfam family "tRNA". From Rfam's summary of the family: Transfer RNA (tRNA) molecules are approximately 80 nucleotides in length. Their secondary structure includes four short double-helical elements and three loops (D, anti-codon, and T loops). Further hydrogen bonds mediate the characteristic L-shaped molecular structure. tRNAs have two regions of fundamental functional importance: the anti-codon, which is responsible for specific mRNA codon recognition, and the 3' end, to which the tRNAs corresponding amino acid is attached (by aminoacyl-tRNA synthetases). tRNAs cope with the degeneracy of the genetic code in two manners: having more than one tRNA (with a specific anti-codon) for a particular amino acid; and 'wobble' base-pairing, i.e. permitting non-standard base-pairing at the 3rd anti-codon position. Lineage: Bacteria; Bacillati; Bacillota; Clostridia; Eubacteriales; Clostridiaceae. The record is from RNAcentral. RNAcentral also lists the same sequence under 7 other names.